CUUUCUCAGUCUGCAAGCAGUUUUCUUAGUGGAAGGGUGGUCACUGUCCGAGUCUAACACAAUGAUGCAAUCCAGAAGAGAGGGUGGUCAUUUUGACAAUGCUGCUAUCCAGAACCAAGCAAAGGUUCUGGUUUCUGGGGGCACUGGAUGCAGCUGGAAAUCGUAUUGAAGUGGGUGAACAAAGCUAAAGAUGAAGACUUCACAGUUUUACGUUGGUUAAACCCAGCCCUUGAAGCAAAUCCAUCUGAUGCCUUUCAAACUGAUGGAGAAUUGCAUUGACCAAGGACAAACAGGUGGACAACUCCUAUGCCAUCUAACAAAGGGGUUCAGUGCUAAUUAUCCUGAUUUGCUGAUUGAUGGUGAAUUUGCAGUGUGUAUGAUCGAAUAGCUGCAUUGCCUUGACUCUGGGGUGUUCUACAUAGAACAAGAUUACUGAAGAACCCAGCAACCUCACAGUAGAAGGCUACAAGACCUGGUUUUGUGUUGACUAAAUCCAUUUUUUGUUUUGUGUAAACCUUUUACAGGUUACUCUGGCCUUGUAGUUCUGUGCUAACAGAUACUGUUGUGUAACCCCAAUACCUGGAUAAAGAUCCUAUUGGAGAGGCAAAAGUUAAUCUCCGAGUUUUAAAUUAAGCCUUAACCAAGGGAUCUGCAGUCUUCCACCUGGUGCAACAGUCCUGAUUAACUGGUUGCAGCACCAUCUUCAAAUCUUAAAGAACUUGGUUCUGUACACAAAAUAUUUGCAUUAAAGAUUAAUACAUUUGA
Long non-coding RNA from Acipenser ruthenus (sterlet), 765 nucleotides. RefSeq lists it as uncharacterized. The record is from RefSeq and is a predicted model, not a curated record. The transcript is spliced from 13 exons. NCBI's taxonomy places the organism in Eukaryota, Metazoa, Chordata, Actinopteri, Acipenseriformes, Acipenseridae.